Long non-coding RNA from Cinclus cinclus, 1281 nucleotides. RefSeq lists it as uncharacterized. The transcript is spliced from 3 exons. The record is from RefSeq and is a predicted model, not a curated record. NCBI's taxonomy places the organism in Eukaryota, Metazoa, Chordata, Aves, Passeriformes, Cinclidae.
GCUCCCGUGCGGUGGCGGCGAGGCCCGGCCCGCCCGCGGCUGUGCCCGUGAGCCCCGUGUGCCGUGCGGGAGCUGCCGGCGCGGGGCCUGUGAGGAGGCGCUCCCGCCCGGGGUCCAGGUGUUAUAAAAUGGACAGGCCCUUCAUUCCCGGCUCCAGCAUUGGGUGAGGAGGGACACUGGACAUGCCUUCAAUUAUGAUAGUUCUGUCACUGCCUCAGCUGUCCUGUGCCAUGCCUGAUGAUGACCAUGGGGUCAUUCUCCUGAGCAGACUGCUCUGUACUCAGCCACCUGGCCUGCAUUCUCCAGUAGAUUCACCAACCUGGCAGCAUAACAGUGGAGCGGUUUAGUACCUGUGGAGUCCCACUGCAGGGGUGUAUGAGCACCUCACAUUUGGCUCAGAAAAACUGCCCUUGCACAGUCCAGCAAGAGGGUUGUGAAGUCCUGGGGACUUGCCAGUUCAGUUCACUAGCUGGAAAGUAUUUUGCCAGAUUACAGCUAUGGUUUGAACACUUGAGGUGGAAGCUGGUAGUGGGGAGUAGAAUCAUAGCUUCACCAGCAGUCUUUGUGCAUUAGAGGCUCUGUUUGGAGGUUCAGAUGUCCUCACACAUCUGCUCUGAUGCCCAUGUGUACACUUGUUCAGGUAUCUAGUUAAAAAUAAGAAUUGGGCUCUCAGUUCUUGACCGAUAGGGGUAAAACAUGUUCCGGUGGGUAGAAGCUGGACCCAGAGUCAAGGAGUGCAUUUUUAAGCAAAGAAUGGUGCUUUCUCACCACUUCAAUCCCCUGCACAGGAGCUGUACCCUAGAGCUGCUGUUCCCUGGGACAGCUAUGCCAGCAUCAGCAGGGCACACAUGGCCACAAGCUGCUGUGCUCACUGGCAGACAAGGCAGAAAGUCUCUGGCCUGCUUACAGCAGGUCUGACAAACUGACCAUAACAACCUUUUCUGUCCUGAAAAUAUCUUAAAUCCUGCUAGGUUAAGAAAUGACCCUGUACUGGUAUAGCUUAGUGUUGCUAAACCAUCUGAGGGCUUUGAAGCAGAUACUCAAGAGCAGAUGGUACUAAUCACUGCUGUAGCAACAUACUCACCUGGUUUUGUGGUUUCUAAAGGCCUGUUUUGGCAAGACUUUUUUUAAAGCUAUUUGAAAAAGACAAGCUUUUGACACACAGUUCUAGGUAAAAUAUCACUAGUUUGGCCAGCGAUGUUUAUUUGUAAAGACCUUGCAUAUUGUAGAGGCCACUGCUUGUUCCUGGCGAUUCUCUAGAAUGGAAACUUGAACCAGUGA